AUGUUAAAAGGUGGCAGUGGGGGUCAGUACAUGUGGAGGUGGAGGAAGAACAUCUUAGAACCAGUCACGGGGUUUCGUGGGCCCCGUUCCGGUGCCCAGCUGGCCUGGCCCAGAUCUGAAGUGGCUGCAUGGCCUGGGCCUGGCGCUGGGGGCAGGCACCGGGGCCUGGUCAGACAUGGGCCAGAAGCACAAAAGUCAGACAAACACCUCUACGAGGAGUGUGUAGAGAAGGCUUUGAAGCUGGUCCUGAAAGUAGGAGGAAACGAAGUCACUGAACUCUCCACGGGCAGCUCAGGGCAUGACUCCAGCCUCUUCAAAGAUAAGAACGAUCAUGACAAACACAAGUAGAAAAAGAGAAAGAAAGGAGAGAAGCAGGUUGCAAGGGAAGAAAAAGGGAGAAAAUGCAGAAGUGCUAAGGAGGAUAAAAAGAAGCAACAUCGAGACCGUGUGGAGAAUGAUGCAGAAAAGGACCUGCAGUGUCAUGGCCCUGUGAGAUUAGGCUUGCCCCCUGAGAAGCCCCUCACAAGCUCUUUAGCGAAACUUUGAAUCAAUUGCCUCUCUUUGAUGAGACAAUUGCAGAGAAAAGAUCCAGGUGCUUUCUUUUCAUUUCCUGUGACUGAUUGUGUUUCUCCUGGCUGCUCCAUGAUCAUUAAACACCCAAUGGAUUUCAGUACCAUGCAAGGAAAGAUCAAGACCAACGACUACCAGUCCACAGAAGAACUAAAGGAUAACUUCAAACUAAUGUGCACUAAUGCCAUGAUUUACAACAAACCAGAGACCAUUUAUUAUAAAGCUGCAAAGAAGCUGUCGCACUCAGGGAUGAAAAUUCUUAGUCAGGAAAGAAUGCAGAGCCUGAAGCAGAGCAUAGAUUUCAUGGCUGACUUGCAGAAAGAUAGAAUAGACACCUCGCAGAGUAGAGAGGACGGAGGCUGCUGGGCAAGAGAGAGAGAGGACUCUGGAGAUGCCAAAACACAAGGCCUCAAGAGUCCCAACAAAGAAAAUGAAAAAAAAAAAAAAAAUACACUUGAAGAUAAGUUUAAAAGCAGUAAUUUAGUGAGAGAGCAGGAGCGGCUUGACCGCAUCGUGAGGGAAUCUGGAAGAAAGCUGACCAGGCAGCUUGUGAACAGUCAGUACGAAUUUGAAAGAACAAAACCAGAUGGAACAAGGACGUUGGGACUUCUCCAUCCUGUGGAUCCCAUUGUAGGAGAGCCAGGCUACUGCCCUGUGAGCCCGGGAAUGACAACUGGAAGACUUCAGUCUGGAGUGAAUACUUUGCAGGGGUUCAAAGAGGAUAAAAGGCACAAAGUCACUCCAGUGUUACAUUUGAAUUACCAGCCCUGUGGUUCUUCUGCAAUGCAAAUAUCAGCAAGGAUGACUCUGAUUUAAUCUAUUCAACCUGUGGGGAAGACUCUGAUCUUCCAAGCAAUUUCAGCAUUCGUGAGUUUUUGGCCACGUGCCAGGAUUGUCCAUCUGUCAUGGCAGAUAUUUUGCUGGAUGUUUUAACAAAAGGAGGGCAUUCCAGGACUCUACAAGAGUUGGAGAUGUCAUCGCCUGAAGGUGAAGGCCGUACUAGGACACUUGACACAGCAAAAGAAAUGGAGAUUACAGAAAUAGAGCCAGCAGGAGUUUGGACUCUGAGACAGGCUCAUAGCACUGAAAGCAGUAGCAAACUUUGGCAUUCCAGUUGAAGUUUUUGACUUUGAAGAAGGUAAAGUAUUCCAGAAGAAACUUGAGACCACCAGAUUGCUCAGGGAGCUUCAGGAAGCCUAGAAUGAACGUCUGAGCACCAGACCCCCUCCCAACAUGAUCUGUCUCUUGGGUCCCUCGUAUAGAGAAAUGCCUCUUGCCGAAUAAGUGACCAAUAAUCUUGAAGAACUUGUACAGCAAGUAACUCCAGGUGAUAUCGUAAGCAUGUAUGCAGUUCAGAAAGCAAUGGGGAUUUCCAUUCCUUCGCCCGUCGUGGAAAACAACUUUGUGGAUUUGACAGAAGAUACUGAAGAACCUAAAAUGAUGGAUGUUGCUGAGUGUGGAGCUGGUGGGAGUUGAGGCCGCCUGGUAUUUGAUUAUACAUUAUAUACAUACUUUUUCAUUCUUAACUUAGAAAUACUUUUCAGAAGAUACUAAAUAUUUAUAAAUUGUGUUUUUAAUUUAACAUUGGAACAGUGA
Molecule: RNA transcript, 2166 nt
Organism: Sapajus apella (tufted capuchin)
Lineage: Eukaryota; Metazoa; Chordata; Mammalia; Primates; Cebidae
Gene name: bromodomain-containing protein 7-like
Exons: 3
Source: RefSeq, a predicted model, not a curated record